AGCCUGCAGUCGAGGAUCUUCGGCAAUGGGCGCAAGCCUGACCCAGCGACGCCGCGUGCGGGAGGAAGGCCUUUGGGUUGUAACCCGCUGUCAGGGGGGAUGAAAUCACAGUGGGUACUCCCAUUGUGUUGACAGAGCCCCAGAGGAAGCGCGGGCUAAGUUCGUGCCAGCAGCCGCGGUAAUAGGAGGUGCCCAAACUUUAUUCGGAUUCACUGGGCUUACAGGGUGCGUAGGCGGCGGAGAAAUUAGGGUGUAAAAUCCCUUGGCUCAACCAGGGCACUGCGCUGUAAACUUCUUCGCUGGAUUGAGUCAGGGGGGGGAGAAACUUCCGGUGGAGCGGUGAAAUGUGUGGAUAUCGGAAGGAACACCGGUGGCGAAAGCGGCGUACUGGGGCUCAACUGACGUUGAGGCACGAAAGCCAGGGUAGCAAACGGGAUUAGAUCCCCCGGUAGUCCCGCCUGUAAACGAUGAGCACUGGACGGGAGGGGCUUCGGCCUC
RNAcentral lists this ribosomal RNA (498 nucleotides) under uncultured bacterium. Its description in RNAcentral is "bacterial SSU rRNA". It matches the Rfam family "Bacterial small subunit ribosomal RNA", at positions 346 to 840 of the family's 1533-position model. The record is from RNAcentral.